RNAcentral lists this long non-coding RNA (216 nucleotides) under Mytilus galloprovincialis (Mediterranean mussel). The record is from RNAcentral. Lineage: Eukaryota; Metazoa; Mollusca; Bivalvia; Mytilida; Mytilidae.
CUUUGUUGGUUUUCAUGUUUCUGGCUACUCUUUGUGUACUAAUUCAAUUAAAUGAAAAUGUAACACAAAGAGUUGCUGGGGAGGUAGCCCAUGUUAACUUACAACAAACAAGAGAAAUGGAUAAUAACAAAGGAUAUAGUAUAUGAUCAUUCUUUAAAAAGGUAUGUUACUAUUUCAAAUUAUAUGCAUUUAUAAUAAAACAGUGUAGAAUUUUUA